GGCACUGUAGCUCAGUCGGUUAGAGCGUAGGACUCAUAAGCCUAAGGUCACUAGUUCGAUCCUAGUCAGUGCUACCA
This 77-nucleotide transfer RNA is filed under the name Saccharimonas aalborgensis (SeqCode). RNAcentral describes it as "tRNA-Met". It matches the Rfam family "tRNA". Rfam says of the family: Transfer RNA (tRNA) molecules are approximately 80 nucleotides in length. Their secondary structure includes four short double-helical elements and three loops (D, anti-codon, and T loops). Further hydrogen bonds mediate the characteristic L-shaped molecular structure. tRNAs have two regions of fundamental functional importance: the anti-codon, which is responsible for specific mRNA codon recognition, and the 3' end, to which the tRNAs corresponding amino acid is attached (by aminoacyl-tRNA synthetases). tRNAs cope with the degeneracy of the genetic code in two manners: having more than one tRNA (with a specific anti-codon) for a particular amino acid; and 'wobble' base-pairing, i.e. permitting non-standard base-pairing at the 3rd anti-codon position. RNAcentral also lists the same sequence under 1 other name. The record is from RNAcentral. Lineage: Bacteria; Candidatus Saccharimonadota; Candidatus Saccharimonadia; Saccharimonadales (SeqCode); Saccharimonadaceae (SeqCode).